GGGGAAUCUUCCGCAAUGGGCGAGGACUGACGGAGCAAUACCGCGUGAGGGAGGAAGGCUUUUGGGUUGUAAACCUCAAAACUUAGGGAAGAAAAAAAUGACGGUACCUAAUCUAAGCAUCGGCUAACUCCGUGCCAGCAGCCGCGGUAAUACGGAGGAUGCAAGCGUUAUCCGGAAUUAUUGGGCGUAAAGAGUCCGUAGGUGGCAAUUCAAGUCUGCCGUCAAAGACUAGAGCUUAACUCUGGAAAGGCGGUGGAAACUGAAGAGCUAGGGUUCGGGAGGGGUAGAGGGAAUUCCCAGUGUAGCGGUGAAAUGCGUAGAGAUUGGGAAGAACACCAGUGGCGAAGGCGCUCUACUGGACCGAAACUGACACUGAGGGACGAAAGCUAAGGGAGCGAAAGGGAUUAGAUACCCCUGUAGUC
This 422-nucleotide ribosomal RNA is filed under the name uncultured cyanobacterium. Its description in RNAcentral is "bacterial SSU rRNA". It matches the Rfam family "Bacterial small subunit ribosomal RNA", at positions 356 to 795 of the family's 1533-position model. The record is from RNAcentral. Lineage: Bacteria; Bacillati; Cyanobacteriota.